This 497-nucleotide ribosomal RNA is filed under the name uncultured bacterium. RNAcentral's name for it is "partial 16S ribosomal RNA". It matches the Rfam family "Bacterial small subunit ribosomal RNA", at positions 28 to 507 of the family's 1533-position model. The record is from RNAcentral.
GAUGAACGCUGGCGGCGUGCCUAAUACAUGCAAGUCGAGCGAACAGACGAGGAGCUUGCUCCUCUGACGUUAGCGGCGGACGGGUGAGUAACACGUGGAUAACCUACCUAUAAGACUGGGAUAACUUCGGGAAACCGGAGCUAAUACCGGAUAAUAUAUUGAACCGCAUGGUUCAAUAGUGAAAGACGGUUUUGCUGUCACUUAUAGAUGGAUCCGCGCCGCAUUAGCUAGUUGGUAAGGUAACGGCUUACCAAGGCAACGAUGCGUAGCCGACCUGAGAGGGUGAUCGGCCACACUGGAGCUGAGACACGGUCCAGACUCCUACGGGAGGCAGCAGUAGGGAAUCUUCAGCAAUGGGCGAAAGCCUGACGGAGCAACGCCGCGUGAGUGAUGAAGGUCUUCGGAUCGUAAAACUCUGUUAUUAGGGAAGAACAAAUGUGUAAGUAACUAUGCACGUCUUGACGGUACCUAAUCAGAAAGCCACGGCUAACUACGUG